ACUCCCUUUUCAGUACCUUCCACUCACAUCACCAUGAAUGGAUGGCUAUGCUAUUGGGAUAGAAAAACACUGUCAUGGUCUGAAGGUGUGGCUAGCUAACUGUAAACCCCACUAAAUAAAAUGACAGGAUAUUUCAGA
This 138-nucleotide small nucleolar RNA is filed under the name Cottoperca gobio. RNAcentral describes it as "Small nucleolar RNA SNORA29 (ENSCGOG00000004637.1)". It matches the Rfam family "Small nucleolar RNA SNORA29". From Rfam's summary of the family: ACA29 is a member of the H/ACA class of snoRNA that guide the sites of modification of uridines to pseudouridines. The record is from Rfam by way of RNAcentral. Lineage: Eukaryota; Metazoa; Chordata; Actinopteri; Perciformes; Bovichtidae.